This 253-nucleotide ribosomal RNA is filed under the name uncultured bacterium. RNAcentral's name for it is "partial 16S ribosomal RNA". It matches the Rfam family "Bacterial small subunit ribosomal RNA", at positions 524 to 776 of the family's 1533-position model. The record is from RNAcentral.
UACGGAGGGUGCAAGCGUUAUCCGGAUUCACUGGGUUUAAAGGGAGCGUAGGUGGGUUGGUAAGUCAGUGGUGAAAUCCCCGAGCUUAACUUGGGAACUGCCAUUGAUACUAUCAGUCUUGAAUACUGUGGAGGUUAGCGGAAUAUGUCAUGUAGCGGUGAAAUGCUUAGAUAUGACAUAGAACACCAAUUGCGAAGGCAGCUGGCUACAGGUGGAUUGACACUGAGGCACGAAAGCGUGGGGAUCAAACAGG